CCUACGGGAGGCAGCAGUGGGGAAUAUUGCACAAUGGGCGGAAGCCUGAUGCAGCAACGCCGCGUGAGGGAUGACGGCCUUCGGGUUGAAACCUCUUUUAGCAGGGAAGCGGUACCUGCAGAAAAAGCACCGGCUAACUACGUGCCAGCAGCCGCGGUAAUACGUAGGGUGCAAGCGUUAUCCGGAAUUAUUGGGCGUAAAGAGCUCGUAGGCGGUUUGUCGCGUCUGCCGUGAAAUCCUCAGGCUCAACUUGAGGCUUGCGGUGGGUACGGGCAGACUUGAGUGCGGUAGGGGAGAUUGGAAUUCCUGGUGUAGCGGUGGAAUGCGCAGAUAUCAGGAGGAACACCGAUGGCGAAGGCAGAUCUCUGGGCCGUACUGACGCUGAGGAGCGAAAGGGUGGGGAGCAAACAGGCUUAGAUACCCUUGUAGUC
This 431-nucleotide ribosomal RNA is filed under the name uncultured bacterium. Its description in RNAcentral is "partial 16S ribosomal RNA". It matches the Rfam family "Bacterial small subunit ribosomal RNA", at positions 338 to 795 of the family's 1533-position model. The record is from RNAcentral.